CUGUAACGUAGCACAAUUUUGAAAAAGUCAAGGGGUCUGAAUACUUUCGGAAUGCACUGUAAAUAGUUAUUUAUUGGCUGAAAAUCUGAAGUUGAUCGCCCCUUUCAAUGAAUGGGUUUUGUCGGCCAAAAUGUUAAACCCCUUCGAUUGAAUUUUGGAAUAGUCCAUUACAAAAGAAGCGCAACAUGAGCGCCGAAGUUUGACGUUAUGCAAGCUGAAUCAAUAUCAACAAUGGCGGCUCGUUUUAAAACAGGUCGAGGAUCGAAGCGCAAGGCAAACAACAAAGCAGAGACUGAGGAGGAGACUUUGGUCAUCGAGCGAAAGAGGGGUAAAAGAGAGGGGGAAAUGGAGACCGCUACAGAGGGCCAGAGGGUGGUCAUUGAACACUGUAAGAGCUGAUACGUGUACAGACGGUGUGCRGAGGGGGUGCGAGAUGCCCUCKUGGCUGCCCGCCCAGACCUCGUCGUGGUUCUGAACCCCCAGAAACCCCGCAAGAAAAGCCUGGAGGUCACACUUGUGGAGGGCGGGAAAGAGGUGUGCCUCUGGACAGGCAUAAAGCUAGGCCCACCUGCCAGGCUGAAGUUCCCUGAGCCUGCCAUUGUGGUUGCAGCCCUGGAGGAGGCAC
This is a non-coding RNA of Salvelinus sp. IW2-2015, 625 nucleotides long. NCBI's taxonomy places the organism in Eukaryota, Metazoa, Chordata, Actinopteri, Salmoniformes, Salmonidae. The record is from RefSeq and is a predicted model, not a curated record.